AACAAGAAUGUGUCCAUAGUACACGGAUGCCCCACUCCCACUAUCAUUUUCUAUGUUCAGUGGGGGUGGACCGUGAAAUUGGAGUCAAAACUUUAAUUUGGAAUUAAAAUUAGAAAGAUCAUAUCAUAGGGAACAUGUGUACUAAGUUUAAAGUUGAUGUAACUUUAACUUCAUCAAAAACUACCUUGACCAAAAACUUUAACCUGAACUUUGCACUAUCAUUUUCUAUGUUCAGUGGACCAUGAAAUUGGGAUCAAAACUAUAAUUUGGCAUUAAAAUUAGAAAGAUCAUAUCAUGGGGAACAU
Molecule: long non-coding RNA, 305 nt
Filed under: Mytilus galloprovincialis (Mediterranean mussel)
Lineage: Eukaryota; Metazoa; Mollusca; Bivalvia; Mytilida; Mytilidae
Source: RNAcentral